AACAGCCGCAGAUAAAGUGUUGGAUGUUUAAAAAGUAGCAGAAGAUAGACUCUGUGACAGGAAGUUGAGGUGUCAGGCCACUGAGCGAUAUGCUGUUUGCACACACUUGUCUUUAAAGAAUGGAACCACCAGAUAAUGAGCAAGAGGACACAGCUGUCACUGGGAUGAUGAAGUAACUCCAAGGAAGUUCAACUUUGUCUGUGGUAAAAUGCAAUCGUUUGAAGAGAGGAAUGGGAUUUCCUACAAAAUCUGUACGGAUGCAAACAGGUUCAUUGGAUGUUGACCAGCCUCCACAUGAAGUUGCAGGUGAAUAUCCCCUCAGGAUACGGAGAGAGGUACAGAAGGAUCAGAAACCUCGGUUCCAGUUUCUCUAGAUGAGUGCGGCGUAGUGCUGCUGCAGGCUGUGGAUAUCCCAGGACACCGUCACUGAACAGUGCCAUCUGCCAGAGAAAAUUAUGCACCCUUCAUUCAGGAUCCCCUAAAUCAUUAAGUGGGGGUCCAUGGCCUAGUGGUACUAUCAAUAGACUCUUAAUCCAGAAACUCAGCUACUGUUCUUGGGACCUGGGUUCAAAUC
Molecule: long non-coding RNA, 574 nt
Organism: Chiloscyllium plagiosum (whitespotted bambooshark)
Lineage: Eukaryota; Metazoa; Chordata; Chondrichthyes; Orectolobiformes; Hemiscylliidae
Source: RefSeq, a predicted model, not a curated record